This 433-nucleotide ribosomal RNA is filed under the name uncultured bacterium. Its description in RNAcentral is "partial 16S ribosomal RNA". It matches the Rfam family "Bacterial small subunit ribosomal RNA", at positions 29 to 507 of the family's 1533-position model. The record is from RNAcentral.
AGCGAACGCUGGCGGCAUGCCUAACACAUGCAAGUCGAACGAGACCUUCGGGUCUAGUUGCGCACGUGUGCGUAACGCGUGGGAACCUGCCCUUAGGUUCGGAAUAACUCCCCGAAAGGGGUGCUAAUACCGGAUAAUGUCUUCGGACCAAAGAUUUAUCGCCUUUGGAUGGGCCCGCGUUGGAUUAGCUAGUUGGUAGGGUAAAAGCCUACCAAGGCGACGAUCCAUAGCUGGUCUGAGAGGAUGCUCCGCCACACUGGGACUGAGACACGGCCCAGACUCCUACGGGAGGGAGCAGUGGAGAAUAUUGGACAAUGGGCGAUAGCGUGACACAGCAAUGCCGCGUGAGUGAUGAAGGCCUUAGGGUUGUACAGCUCUUUUAGCCGCGAUGAUAAUGACAGUACCGGGAGAAUAAGCUCCGGCUAACUACGUG